UACGGAGGGUGCAAGCGUUAUCCGGAUUUACUGGGUUUAAAGGGUGCGCAGGCGGUCUAUUAAGUCCGGGGUGAAAUCCUACAGCUCAACUGUAGAACUGCCUUGGAUACUAUUAGACUUGAAUCAAGUAUAGGUCAGCGGAAUACAACAUGUAGCGGUGAAAUGCAUAGAUAUGUUGUGGAACACCGAUUGCGAAGGCAGCUGACUGGGCUUGUAUUGACGCUCAUGCACGAAAGCGUGGGUAGCGAACAGG
RNAcentral lists this ribosomal RNA (253 nucleotides) under uncultured Bacteroidota bacterium. RNAcentral describes it as "uncultured Bacteroidetes bacterium partial 16S ribosomal RNA". It matches the Rfam family "Bacterial small subunit ribosomal RNA", at positions 524 to 776 of the family's 1533-position model. Lineage: Bacteria; Pseudomonadati; Bacteroidota. The record is from RNAcentral.